Molecule: ribosomal RNA, 254 nt
Filed under: uncultured bacterium
Lineage: Bacteria
Description: partial 16S ribosomal RNA
Rfam family: Bacterial small subunit ribosomal RNA
Source: RNAcentral
UACGGAGGGGGCUAGCGUUGUUCGGAAUUACUGGGCGUAAAGCGCACGUAGGCGGACUGUUAAGUCGGGGGUGAAAUCCUGGAGCUCAACUCCAGAACUGCCUUCGAUACUGGCGAUCUUGGAGUCCGGGAGAGGUGGGUGGAACUGCGAGUGUAGAGGUGAAAUUCGUAGAUAUUCGCAAGAACACCAGUGGCGAAGGCGGCUCACUGGCCCGGUACUGACGCUGAGGUGCGAAAGCGUGGGGAGCAAACAGG